CAGCAGCCACGGGAAUACGUAGGUGGCAAGCGUUAUCCGGAAUUAUUGAGCGUAAAGCGCGCGUAGGCGGUUUUUUAAGUCUGAUGUGAAAGCCCACGGCUCAACCGUGGAGGGUCAUUGGAAACUGGGAAACUUGAGUGCAGAAGAGGAAAGUGGAAUUCCAUGUGUAGCGGUGAAAUGCGCAGAGAUAUGGAGGAACACCAGUGGCGAAGGCGACUUUCUGGUCUGUAACUGACGCUGAUGUGCGAAAGCGUGGGGAUCAAACAGGAUUAGAUACCCGCGUAGUCCCUGUCUCUUAUAC
This 301-nucleotide ribosomal RNA is filed under the name uncultured bacterium. Its description in RNAcentral is "partial 16S ribosomal RNA". It matches the Rfam family "Bacterial small subunit ribosomal RNA", at positions 509 to 807 of the family's 1533-position model. The record is from RNAcentral.